Molecule: ribosomal RNA, 497 nt
Filed under: uncultured bacterium
Lineage: Bacteria
Description: partial 16S ribosomal RNA
Rfam family: Bacterial small subunit ribosomal RNA
Source: RNAcentral
GAUGAACGCUGGCGGCGUGCCUAAUACAUGCAAGUCGAGCGAACGGACUAGAAGCUUGCUUCUCUGAUGUUAGCGGCGGACGGGUGAGUAACACGUGGAUAACCUACCUCUCAGACUGGGAUAACUUCGGGAAACCGGAGCUUAUCCCGGAUAAUCUUUUGAACCGCAUUGUUCAAAAGUGAAAGACGGUCUUGCUGUCACUUAUAGAUGUAUCCGCGCUGCAUUAGCUAGUUGGUAAGGUAACGGCUUACCAAGGCAACGAUGCAUAGCCGACCUGAGAGGGUGAUAGGCCACACUGGAACGGAGACACGGUCCAGACUCCUACGGGAGGCAGCAGUAGGGAAUCUUCCGCAAUGGGCGAAAGCCUGACGGAGCAACGCCGCGUGAGUGAUGAAGGUCUUCGGAUCGUAAAACUCUGUUAUUAGGGAAGAACAUAUGUGUAAGUAACUGUGCACAUCUUGACGGUACAUAAUCAGAAAGCCACGGCUAACUACGUG